Andrographis paniculata is the source of this 3447-nucleotide RNA transcript. RefSeq lists it as uncharacterized. The record is from RefSeq and is a predicted model, not a curated record. The transcript is spliced from 6 exons. Lineage: Eukaryota; Viridiplantae; Streptophyta; Magnoliopsida; Lamiales; Acanthaceae.
AAUGUCCUCCUACAUCGAUCAAUUCUGCCCAUGUCUUCCUGAAUCUUGAAAACCUACACCACUCUCGUGUCCAUCCCUUCGCCGCAAUUCAAUUCGAUGAUUCCGGCGGCGUAAGCACUGGAUUGGCCCUCCUUGUUGCUUUACCGGCGUCGCUGAAGCUUCAGACAUAUUGAGUAGGAAAAAAAAAAAAGAAAAAAUGAUAAACGGAGAGGGGGCUGAGGAGAAGUCUGCGGUCGCCUCUCCGUGUGAUCGAGAAUCGGACGGCGGAGAUGAUUUAUCGCACUACUCAUCCUGCGGAGGCGAAUCGGAGUACGAAAGGUACUGUAGCGCAAGCUCCGCCAUGGGAACCCCUAAUUCUCGUAGCAAUUCGUUGAAAGAUGCUGAUGUUUGGUCGCUGAAAGGCUUCAAGCUCGGGGGCGAAAAUAGCGCGUUUAAGAGUUUCAGAGCUGAGAGAUUGUUAUCCGCGUAUCGAGAAUCUGAGAAGGGGAAUGGAUUCUGCCAUGGCAAUGAAAGAGCUGAGGGUUUUGCAGUGAGUAAGGUUGGGAUUAACAAUGGUGGAGUUUCAGGCGUGGGAAUUGAUGGAGAUGAGCAUAGGAAUUUAUCUGAUGAGAGUGAGGCUGAUGCUUCGUCGAGAUCGGAGCAUUCGGAAGGGGAGGACUCGAUGUUUGGCUGUGGCAGUGAUGAUGAGAGGAGGAGUGGUUUUUACUUUGGGGAGAAUGCAGGUUUUAAUGGUGGAAAUCGGCGGGACAAGGAUCGAUUAGCUAUGGAUUCAGCAGUGGCAUUCGGCGCUGAUGAUUGGGACGAUUUUGUUCAAGAAAAUGCACUUGAUUCGAUUGUUUGGGAUAGAAAUCAGGAUGACGUUCAUUCUAGCAUUCAAAGGAAUCGAUUAGCUAUGAAUUCGGAAGUGGCAUUUAGCAACGAUUCUGUUCAAGAAAAUGCACUUGAUUCAAUUGUUUGGGAUGACAUUGGUGUUGGGACGUCGAGUUUGAGUGCUCCCAGUUCAGUUUCUUGUGGACAUUUGAUCGGGAAAGGAAAUGAGAAUGAGCUUGGAAGUAGGCUGGAAGCUUGUAGUCGAGCUGGAGGUGUUGUUGAAUCAGCAGAGGGAGAUAUGAAUGCUCUAUCAUUGAGUCGUGCAAAAGAUGAAGUCAGUGACAUGGAUGAGUUGGCUGAGUAUAUUGGAUACAAUCUCGAUUCGGAUAUGUUUCAAAGAGACAAGAAUCGAGUGGGAAAGGAAGACACAACUAAGGCCGUGCCCGUACAUUGUGAUGCUGUGUUGAAAAACUCCGACUUUCUAGAGACAAGCAUGGUAUUGGAGCCAUUGUCUGAAUCUGUCGACAGUAACCAUCAUUUUGCACGGGGGAAGGGUAAGGAAACACAAGAAACCAGAUUAGCUGAAGACGAGAGAUUAAUUGCAUUAAAUGUUGCAACGAAGAAGAAUUCCGACUUUAAAUUUGAUCAAAUUGAAGAUCAUUUUGUCCCGGAUAAGUCACGGCGAUUCGGAUUGAAUGGAUUAUACGACGAAAUUGUUGAUGAUAUGCAAGAUAUACUGCUCGAUGCGGGUGAAUCCAUGGGGUCAAGGUUUGCUAGUAGGAUUCAUCAACCUCAAUUUCGUCGGGCACCAAGAGAUGGUGGUUCGAGUGCUUCUACGUCAGGUACAGAACACACAUACAAUUCGAUGCCGCAGCCUCGUAGAAUUGAUUGGAUCGAGGUUGUAGGAGCUAGACAAAAGAAAGGGGACGUGUCAUUCAGUGAGCGGCUGGUUGGAGUGCAGCGAUACACCGUGUAUCUGAUGAGAGUGUCGAACGGGACAGACCAUUGGGAGGUGGAGCGUCGUUACCGUGACUUUAACGCUCUGUAUUUCCGAUUGAAGAAACUGUUUACCGACCAUGGCUGGACUCUUCCUUCACCUUGGUCUGCUGUCGAAAAAGAAUCUAGAAAGAUCUUCGCUAAUGCUUCGCCCGGGGUUGUUGCAGAUAGGAGUGUCCUUAUCCAAGAGUGUUUGCAAUCCGUCAUUGACCCUAAAUUCUUGUCGGGUUGCCACAAUGCACUCCUCGAUUUCCUCUGUCCUUCAGAAGAGGCGCCUGAUUCACCGGCAACUAGAAUAAGUGCAAUUCAGUCUCCGACUGCUAACAAAGACUCACAAAUGGACAAAUUUUCCACCCUAGGAAAGACCAUAUCGCUUAUAGUUCACAUUCCAGCUCCGAAAUCGAUGAAACAGAUGCUGGAUGAGCAGCACUAUAGGUGUGCCGGAUGCCACAAGAAUUUCGAUGAUGGGAGAACAAGGGUCCGGGAAUUUGUUCAGGCGCUAGGAUGGGGCAAGCCCCGUCUUUGCGAGUACAGCGGCCAGUUAUUCUGCUCGUCAUGCCAUAACAAUGAUUAUGCUGUUUUGCCUGCUAGAGUUCUGCAUUAUUGGGAUUUUACUCGAUAUCCUGUGUCGCAGCUGGCUAAAUCGUUUCUAGAUUCUAUUAGUGAUAAGCCAAUGCUUUGUGUUAGCGCUGUCAAUCCUUUCCUGUUUUCGAAAGUCCCAACAUUGCAACAUGUGGCAAAUAUCAGGAAUAGAAUAAGAGCAAUGGUACCGUAUGUCCGAUGCCCAUUUCGUAGAUCCAUUUACAAAGGGCUGGGAUCUCGAAAAUAUAUUCUUGAAAGCAAUGAUUUUUUUGCUCUUCGAGACCUCAUCGAUUUAUCCAAAGGAGUAUUUUCAGCACUACCGGCAAUGGUUGAAUCUGUCUCAAGGAAGAUCCUGGAACAUAUAACCGAGCAGUGUCUUGUGUGCUACGAUUCCGGUAUUCCCUGUAAUGCUCGAAAAGACUGCGACAAUCCACUUUCUCUCAUUUUUCCAUUCCAGGCACGAGAGUGUAAAAAGUGUAGAUCUUGUAAGUCAAUUUUCCACAAGGAUUGCUUCAAGAAAAUAGCUAGUUGUCCUUGUGGUGCUCGUUUUAAGCAAGAGAAGGUGAAGCAAACUGUCGGCGAAGGAGCUCAUUGUAAUUCAAAUCAACUGGAACAAACAGUAGCAGAAUCUGACAACGGAAACGGGUUUCUUGCUGGAUUGUUCGCCAAGGUAAUGCCCGGAAGGUCUCAGGCUGUUAGGAAACAGGAGUUGAGGGGAUCUGAUAACAUUAUUUUAAUGGGUUCAUUACCAAACAUGACUCUCUGAACUCCCAUCAACUGGUGUAUAAGAAACACAAAUUGUCGAUACCAUCAUGAAGCCUGCCAAGGAUGUAAUGAUAUGUGUAGGAGCAGCUUUGGGAAGUUCUUACAAAGUUGAGAUUGUAGUCUUUGAUGGCGAGAAAGGGCACGAUUAUGAACCAGAACACGGUGUCUGUCAGCAUCACAGCUCCUGCAUUCAUCUUAACAGAAAUCGAGAAGCUAUUAGAAAUUAGAAUCCCCAUUCGCUCGCGGGCGUUAAAAGGUUGUAAGAAUGUUGGAGUCGUUUCGCUAACCUGAAAA